This is an RNA transcript of Hippocampus zosterae (dwarf seahorse), 1725 nucleotides long. It is a transcript of the gene named regulatory factor X-associated protein-like, with no coding region annotated. NCBI's taxonomy places the organism in Eukaryota, Metazoa, Chordata, Actinopteri, Syngnathiformes, Syngnathidae. The record is from RefSeq and is a predicted model, not a curated record. The transcript has 3 exons.
GAAGACGAAGAAGAAGACCUAUCAUAUUAUUUGUAACAACCCCGUCCCUGGUCACAUAAUGUGGUGUAUUUAAAAAGGCUAGCCUUAAUUUUGUUUUAGUAAGUGCGUAAAAUGCUGCCAAAUCGCUGCUAACAUUGACAGACGCUCGUUCGCCACCGCGAGCGUGUUAUUAGCUCCUUGCCGGUUGCCUUUUUCUUGCAACUUACGAACAUGAGCGACGACGAAGCUUCGGUCCGCAAGGACGCCUCGAAGGCCAUCCUACUCACCAAGGACGGCCAGCGCUACAUCGUGGGCGACAGCCGCUCGGUGGACAGCCGCGACGUGAUCACGCUCAUCCCCAUGGAGGCAACCGAUCUCAUGGACCUGGACGACGCCGACGAGGAGAGCGACGUGCUGGACGCGUCCGACCCGCGGGACGGCGCCGGGAGCCCGGAGGAGCUGAACGACGACGAGGCGUCGGAGGGCGACGGCACAGCGCCGAAGCAGUGCACCUACGACGGCUGCACUGAGACCACCACGCAAGUGGCCAAGCAGCGCAAGCCGUGGAUGUGCAAGAAGCACCGCAACAAGAUGUACAAGGACAAGUACAAGAAGAAGAAAAGCGACCAGGCCAUGUCGACCAACAAAAUAGACGUCAGUCCCCCACGCUACAGUGAAACCCCCGCCUACUCGCGGAUUUUUUGGAGAAUGAUUUUCAUUUAUUUUUUUUUGGGAGGGGUGCGAAUCUCAAUCCCGUGCUUUUCGACAACUGUGAAGAGCGUCCUGUGUCUGUCAACAAGCAGCGUUUAGGGGUGAUGGGAGACCGGCCAGCCAGACCCUCCCUCAUUGAGCAGGUGCUCAACCAAAAAAGACUGUCACUGCUGAGGAGUCCCGAGGUGAUUCACUUCUUGCAGCAGCAGCAGCGCAUCCUGGCCGUGCAGAGUCGAAGUCUGGCGCUGCAGCACAACUUGAGCGGCUGUUGACGCUCCUAACACUCAGUCACGCUAUUAUUUAUUGUCUUUACAGUUAAAAGGUUUGUGGUGCAUUUUGUUGUUGUUGUUGUUGAUGAUUUCACUCACGGACAAAGAAAACAAAACAAAAAUGUUUUCUGGUCACAAGCUCUGUCACCCCCGCGGCGAACGAAAUAAUAUUUCACUUCGUGAAACUCUUGAUUUGCAUCUAGCAGCUUUGUGUUACCAAUUUGUAUUUAUAGACAUAUCUCGAGCCUGAUAAUAAUCUCCUGUAAAAAAAAUAAAUAAUAAAACAUCAAAUCCAUUUUAGCCUCGAAAAAAACAUUUAAUAUAAGUACAACCAAACAUUGGUCGGGACGGUAGAAUAAUAUUAAAAGACAAAUUGAACUCACAAAGAAGCGCUACGUAGUCUUGAAGUGCCGUAGGGAUGCACAAGAAAACAACAAAGCCAACAUACAGAAGCCAAAUGAAAGUCAGUCUCACAGUAAACAAGGACCACAUCCUGGAAACUUCCGGAGGGGCUUGCGUCCUCAUCACAAACGCCGCCUUCCGCAGCCACCCGCCCGUUUUCUACGACACAGACGAGAUGGGGUUGUGCGGUGAGCCCAUUUGGGUGAGGACCUUGUCAAGCCAUUGCAGGGGACCAUGUAGAUGCACUUCGAUCCAGCAGGGGGUGCUGGUCACAUCCUGGCGGUGGUACUCAGCCCCCCAACCCUAGACAAAAAAAAAAAAAAAAAGCUUUGUCACUUCACUGGAAUCAAAGCACCGUUUUCAA